This 468-nucleotide ribosomal RNA is filed under the name uncultured bacterium. RNAcentral describes it as "partial 16S ribosomal RNA". It matches the Rfam family "Bacterial small subunit ribosomal RNA", at positions 28 to 507 of the family's 1533-position model. The record is from RNAcentral.
GACGAACGCUGGCGGCGUGCUUAACACAUGCAAGUCGAACGGAAAGGCCCUGCGUUUGUGGGGUGCUCGAGUGGCGAACGGGUGAGUAACACGUGAGUAACCUGCCCUUGACUUUGGGAUAACUUCAGGAAACUGGGGCUAAUACCGGAUAGGAGCUCCUGCUGCAUGGUGGGGGUUGGAAAGUUUCGGCGGUUGGGGAUGGACUCGCGGCUUAUCAGCUUGUUGGUGGGGUAGUGGCUUACCAAGGCUUUAACGGGUAGCCGGCCUGAGAGGGUGACCGGCCCCAUUGGGACUGAGAUACGGCCCAGACUCCUACGGGAGGCAGCAGUGGGGAAUAUUGCACAAUGGGCGGAAGCCUGAUGCAGCAACGCCGCGUGCGGGAUGACGGCCUUCGGGUUGUAAACCGCUUUCGCCUGUGACGAAGCGUGAGUGACGGUAAUGGGUAAAGAAGCACCGGCUAACUACGUG